Molecule: ribosomal RNA, 588 nt
Filed under: uncultured bacterium
Lineage: Bacteria
Description: bacterial SSU rRNA
Rfam family: Bacterial small subunit ribosomal RNA
Source: RNAcentral
CCUACGGGAGGCAGCAGUAGGGAAUCUUCCGCAAUGGGCGAAAGCCUGACGGAGCGACGCCGCGUGAGCGAAGAAGGCCUUCGGGUCGUAAAGCUCUGUUGUGAGGGACGAAGGAGCGCCGCUCGAAGGGGGCGGCGCGGUGACGGUACCUCACGAGAAAGCCCCGGCUAACUACGUGCCAGCAGCCGCGGUAAUACGUAGGGGGCGAGCGUUGUCCGGAAUUAUUGGGCGUAAAGCGCGCGCAGGCGGUCUCUUAAGUCUGAUGUGAAAGCCCACGGCUCAACCGUGGAGGGUCAUUGGAAACUGGGGGACUUGAGGGCAGGAGAGGAGAGCGGAAUUCCACGUGUAGCGGUGAAAUGCGUAGAGAUGUGGAGGAACACCAGUGGCGAAGGCGGCUCUCUAGCCUGCACCUGACGCUGAGGCGCGAAAGCGUGGGGAGCAAACAGGAUUAGAUACCCUGGUAGUCCACGCCGUAAACGAUGAGUGCUAAGUGUUAGAGGGGUCACACCCUUUAGUGCUGCAGCUAACGCGAUAAGCACUCCGCCUGGGGAGUACGGCCGCAAGGCUGAAACUCAAAGGAAUUGACGG